Molecule: ribosomal RNA, 372 nt
Filed under: uncultured organism
Description: bacterial SSU rRNA
Rfam family: Bacterial small subunit ribosomal RNA
Source: RNAcentral
CAGAGGGUGCAAACGUUGUUCGGAAUUACUGGGCGUAAAGCGCGUGUAGGCGGCAGCGUGUGUCGGGCGUGAAAUCCCAUGGCUCAACCAUGGAAGUGCACCCGAAACUGCGCAGCUAGAGUCCUGGAGAGGAAGGUGGAAUACUUGGUGUAGAGGUGGAAUUCGUAGAUAUCAAGUGGAACACCGGUGGCGAAGGCGGCCUUCUGGACAGUGACUGACGCUGAGACGCGAAAGCGUGGGGAGCAAACAGGAUUAGAUACCCUGGUAGUCCACGCCGUAAACGAUGAGUGCUAGGUGUCACGGGCUUUGACCCUCGUGGUGCCGAAGCUAACGCGUUAAGCACUCCGCCUGGGGAGUACGGCCGCAAGGCUA